AGUAUCUGAAUUUGGGGAGAACAUAAGUCCAUGACACAUGUGUACAAAACUUUCAUUGUGAUAUUAGUGUCAUAAUAAUAAUAUAUAACAACAUACAACAGAGCAACCAACAAGCUUAACACCUGAGAAAAGAUAGGUGCCUCCCAGAAGUAACAAACAUGAGUACUUGAUUACCUAGGGCACACAUAGCACAGACCAAGAUAUAAUCGCCUUGAAAGUGGAUGAAAAGAAUGCAGCUGAAACAUUUAUCAAAUUAUUGGAGGCCAAAUGUGAACACUAGUGAAGAUCAACUGUGGUUGGAGAAAUGAAGAACAGCAAAACUCUAACCCCGGGACAAAGUAAGACCAUUUAAAGGGACCAAAAAUGGAUGAACAUACUUGGCACUAUGAACUAAAAGAUCUUUGGCUAAAGAAGAGAUGAAGACUCAUUCAACUCCUACAAGUGAAUUAAGGAGCUCUGAGAAGGCAAAGCCAGCCCAGGAGGGUGGACACACUAAGAACAAUGUGCCUUGUCCUGAUACACAGUUGUGGUAUAGGUAACAAAAUCUGAGUAUCCAACCUAAGAUGUUACCCCUCACCUCACCAGAAUACCUCCAAUCCCUUCCCUGGAAACACAGAAUAAAUUCCUAUAGAAAGUUAUAAAGCAGAAAAACAA
Molecule: long non-coding RNA, 654 nt
Organism: Homo sapiens (human)
Lineage: Eukaryota; Metazoa; Chordata; Mammalia; Primates; Hominidae
Product: long intergenic non-protein coding RNA 2546
Source: Ensembl